GGCUUCGUAUGGCUAAUUUGGUUCAGAAUCUUGGUGGGUUUCCUGAGAGCUCCACGAAUCGCGACGGAUCAAUGGAAGAAUCGACAGUGACGGAGCAGAGUGGCUGUGGGAGGAAGAGGAAGGAUGUGAGCUCCGAGGAUGAAUCUUCGAGAAUGGUUUCAACUAGUAGUGCUAAUCAAUUGAGUAACUCAAAUGGUAAACGGAUGAAAGUAGUGGAAUCCAGAGAUGAAAAUGGUGGUAUAAAAGCUGAAGUAGAACCUAGCUCAACAGAUGGC
This 275-nucleotide unclassified non-coding RNA is filed under the name Hevea brasiliensis (rubber tree). The record is from RNAcentral. Lineage: Eukaryota; Viridiplantae; Streptophyta; Magnoliopsida; Malpighiales; Euphorbiaceae.